This 1356-nucleotide long non-coding RNA is filed under the name Monodelphis domestica (gray short-tailed opossum). RNAcentral describes it as "lncRNA (ENSMODG00000047105.1)". The record is from RNAcentral. Lineage: Eukaryota; Metazoa; Chordata; Mammalia; Didelphimorphia; Didelphidae.
AGGGGUCAGGAAUUGUUGCAGUAGUGGCAGUAGAAGCUAAUGCAAUGGCAUCAUCAAUGCCAUAUCAAUGGCAACUGGUGAUCUUCUUUCAUCGUGUUCUUCUUGAUCUCUGGGACACUACCUCCUUAGCCUUUGGCUCUUGAUCCCCUCUAUGCUAGCAGUGGAAAAAUCAUGGGAUUGUAGUUUUUUGUUUUUGUUUUUUGAAACAGGGAAGAGUUGCUAGGAUAGGUCUCCCUAUCUCAAGCAAAGUCUCUCAUGUCCCAGCCCCACUACCAAGAAGCAUAGGUGACUCUCUCUAUCUAUUAACGACUGUAAGAUGCUCAAUUGAUCAGUUUUAGCCCAGUUGAAGCUCAGAACUUCUGAGGCCAAGUGAUGCUGUAGCUUCCCCAGGAACAGGGAUCACACAAACCAUGCCUGGGUGAAAUCAUAAACGUAAGAGCUAUAAGGGACCCUACCAAUAGGCAAGACUUUCAUUUUUGCAGACGAAGAGAGCCCAGAGAAAUCAAAAGACUUUCCUGGAAUCACAAACCUACUAAGCAGCAGAACCUGGAUGUGAACAAAGAUCCUCUGAUUCCUCAUCCAGCAUUUAUCCCGAAACACCAUACUGCUUCUCCUCUCUCAUCUUUUUAGUGGCUGCUGUGGAAGCCCUCAACUUUAUUUAGGACAUUCUUCUCUGCCUUGAUCAAACUUAGUUAUGCUUUCUCUCUGUCUUCCUCAUUUCUUUGCCUUUCCAUCUACCCUAUGGUACUUACUCAAGGCAAAAUAAUCAUAUUUCUCUUUCAGAGAAAGUAGCAGUGUUUGGAGGUUUCAACUGCUGGACCGAAAACUGCAAUGUACUGCUUCUCUUCCUGGAGACAGCAAGUCUUUGGGCAUUGUUACCUCACAGGCUCAUAGCAAAAACUCCUUGUGAUGCCACUUUUCUGAAUCCUUCUGGUAUGGUGGACUCCAACCUCAGUCUGGAUCCAAGGAGUGUCUUCCAGAUACCAGGAGUCACAAGGGAUACUUGGUGAGCCUACUUCUGACCAUGAGUGUCUCAGGGCUGAUGCGAUGUAAAUAGAAGAUUUUUUGUCUGCUGAGGAACCAGAAGGACUGGUGAGGAACCAGAAGGACAAGAGAUCCAGAGCCAGAACUGAUUUUUCACCCAAAGGAUCAAUAUGCCCUUCCUUCGUUCCCUCUUCUUUUGUGUUUUCUUUCAUGGUAAACGCAUGUAAAAGCAAAAACUUACAAUAGUAGCUAGGUAUCUCAGUGGAUAGAGGACCAGAUCUGGAGAUGGAAGAUCCUGGGUUCAAAAUUGACCUCAGAUACUUCCUAGCUGUGUGAUCCUGAGCAAGUCACUCAACCCCAAUUGCCUAGCUC